AAGGGAGGCAACUGCCCCCCAGAGAAAACUAUAUUCACGAUUUUUAGAAUGUCAUUAAUUAUUCUUUGGAUAUUUGGGACUUUUCCGGCAUAUAGGCCUUACUCCCCCCCCCCCCGGUGAAAAAAUCCUGUGUACGGCCCUGUCUGCAGCUUAAUGGGUUUAACAAUUUGGAACACCGACUAUUGUAUGUUGCUUCCCUUGCACUGGGAAGGUACCUUGUAUCCUGGCCACUUUUGAUUAUUAUACCAUUAAAAGCCUGAUAAUUGCACCAAUGGUUCUGGUGUCUCUGGUUUGGAGUUGAGUCACAUUGUUUUGUUUUUCCCAUCAUCAUUUUUGUGCUCAAAGUUACAACAUAUAAUAUAUUUUUGUUUAUUCCAGAAUUAUCUCACAAUUGUCAUAUCAUAAUUUGGCAUUUGUCCUCUCACUCUGGUUUCCCAAUUAACCCAUAGAGUGGCUCUGACAUUGACAAGUAAAAGUAGGGCAGUAUACCAAGCAAGAUGUAUGGAAAAUAUUGAAGACACAAAAGCUGGAUUAAUUUUGAACUAUUUUAUUUGAACUUCUUCAAUACAGUAGAAUUAUUAACAGUGAAUAAUUUUAAAUUAACACUAAAAUUAUUGUAAUUAAUUAAGUGUACAUGAUGUAGUGGAGCAUGUGUUAACUUAAUAGUCUUAAUUAAUUAACAUUAACUUACGGUAAUAAAGGUUUAUACUUUUAUGUUAUCAUCACCAUAAUCUAUAGACAUUUUCAAAUUUUGCUUGGGGUGGGGGUGUGCAGAAAAAUUCAGGGGUGGAAAGUGAGCACAUGGGGUGCUGAGUAAGAUGCAGCAGGGUCUACCAUGGGUGUGCCCCCCCCCCCAGUUUGUUGGGCAAACAAAGCCAGUUGGGCAGUAUUGGCUUAUUAUUCUGUCAAUUUUGUGGGAAAUAUGCUAUCUAAUAGGAAUUUUCGUAGCAUCCUCCCCCCCUGUUGACAACAAUUUCGGAAAGUUUCUCUGGAAAUUUUUUUUUUGACAACUCGGGCACAAUCCGAAAAAGUCAGGCAAAU
This is a non-coding RNA of Paramuricea clavata, 1041 nucleotides long. The record is from the annotation of a GenBank genome assembly. NCBI's taxonomy places the organism in Eukaryota, Metazoa, Cnidaria, Anthozoa, Malacalcyonacea, Plexauridae.